Pieris brassicae (large cabbage white) is the source of this 645-nucleotide long non-coding RNA. RefSeq lists it as uncharacterized. The record is from RefSeq and is a predicted model, not a curated record. The transcript has 3 exons. Lineage: Eukaryota; Metazoa; Arthropoda; Insecta; Lepidoptera; Pieridae.
GGAUAUUCGCAGAACGGGUUUUAUCACGACAACAAUAUGUACUAUUAUUACAAUAUUCGUGUGCUUUGCUUUUUAUUCAUCGUCUACGGUGUACAAUCUUUGGAGGCUGACCCCAUGCGGUGUUACCGAGCUAACGAAAUUUUGGACUGCGUAUUUUCAUGUCCACCGGAGAAGACUUGUAGGAAUCGUGAAAUUAUGUUCAACUGCCUGGAUGUCAUACAACCCUGUAGACCUCAGUGUGUUUGCAAACCUGGCUUUUAUAGAAAUUUCAAUGGCGACUGCAUAACAGGCGAACAAUGUGCCAAAUGUCCCGGAAAACACGAAUUUUUCUCAUGCGGUUCAGCGUGCGAUACAGAGUGCGCCACAUUAAAUGAAAGUUGUCCAAUUUUGAACAUCAAAUGCAACGAGAAAUGUUAUUGUGAAAAUGGAUAUGCAAGGGAUGAAGAUGGAAAAUGUAUACCAAUUACGGAAUGUCCACCCAAGCCAUCAAUCUAAAAAAUAAAAAGAUCUAAUAAAAUAAUAUAGUGUUGACUUAAGGCUUAUUUACAUUUGCUACUUUUUAAUACGUUUUUAGCAUUAUUUUUCCAAGAAAUCUAAAAAACACGCAUUUCGCAAAAGUGAAUGUACUAUGCUAUAAAGCACGCU